This 4170-nucleotide long non-coding RNA is filed under the name Sus scrofa (pig). Its description in RNAcentral is "lncRNA (ENSSSCG00040021943.1)". Lineage: Eukaryota; Metazoa; Chordata; Mammalia; Artiodactyla; Suidae. The record is from RNAcentral.
ACUUCCGGCCUUUCCCGGGGCGGGCGCGCGCUGCUCUCAGGACUUUAAGCCAGAGGGAUGCUACGAGUUAAAAUAUCCGUGCUUGGGGCUCUCCAGGGGCAUGAGGACAUGAUAAUGCUAAGUCUGGGGAACGUGCAUACAUUCUACGUUAUUGAGCACCUGCUAUGUACCAGACAGUAUGCUGAGCUGUGGGAAUACAAGGAAGUUAUAGUCUAAUAGUCUAAUAGAAGAAACAGGAAUAAAUCAGUAAUUAUGAUAAAUUACCAUGAUAAAGGUGAGCAUAGAUUGUUAUGGGUGUCAAAAAGGAAUUUGUCUAAAUCGCAUAGAUAGGGAAGGUUUCCUGAAGGAGGAAAACCUGAGCUGAGUUUGUAGGAACAAACUGGUUAUACGAAUUGCACAGAAAUAGUCAACUAGCUAGGGAUUUAGCCGAGACUUGGACCCAAAUCUCCUGCAUGCAGUUCUCUGCUCUUUCCCCCAAGCUAAGGACCCAUCUUUGGUCCUUGACAUUGAGCUCCUUGACCUUCUCAGUCGCACGUCUACCUGUCAUACUUUGAGAAGGUCAGAGAUCCUGAAUUUUUUUUUUAAACCCACUCAUUUUUCUCUCCUUUUAGAACUAUUCUCUGGGUAUGUUCAGAAAAAUAGAUUAGAAGCAGAACAGAGAGACUGGAAAAAGUGCAGAAUGUUAUAAUAGUUCUGGCAAUAAUCGAUGAAGGCCAUGACCAAAGCAGAAGAACUGGGCUUGGCGCAAAACUCCACUCUGCUGGUUCUUCUUUGACACGCAGACUUUUGCAUGGAAUGUUAAAGCAUAGAAGCUCCUGGACUUGGCUCCAAAUGUAUGUGGGAGCGGGGGAGAAGGAGAGGUCUACAGGGACUCUCCAGCUUCUUUUUUGGGUGACUGUGUCAGUGGUUGUUGCUAGUUCACCAAGAUGGGAGCACAGUCCGAGGAGCAGAUUAGGCAGGAAAGAUGCUGAAUUCUGUUUUGGACAUUUUGAAUGUGAGGAGCCCCGGAGGCAAAUAGGUGGAGAUGCCCAGGAGACAGCUGAGUCAAAAGAAUUAGAACAAAGGAGAGGGUUCUGGGCUGGACGCACAGACCUGAGAGACCAGGCAAAAGGCUUACAUGUUACCAACCUAUGGAAUGAACUCCUUCUAGGUGACAUUGUGUAAGAGAUUCUUCUUGUCUGCUUUCUUCCAUUUGGGGGCACCAUAAUUUAGUUGCUGUAGUGUAACAUCCACCAAACACAGACCUUGUUUUAUGAGAAUAACUUUGGUGUGUGAGGUUUUUUUCCUGAACUCAAGAGUUUUAUAAACGUGAACAAAAUUUUCUCCACUUGGUUUCCAGGACAGCACCUGUCCUCCUUAUCUCCUUGGCUGGUUUCCUCUCAUUCCUCUGACAUCUGUACUUUGGAGGGGUCUGUUUACUGCCUGUAUUCAUUUCUGGGGUGGUUUUAUCCAGUUUCAUAGUUUGCAAUACCCUUUCUCUCUCAAUAACUCUCAAGGUUUCAGAGGUUAGAGUCCUAACCUCUCCUGACCUCCAGACUCCUAUACCAAACUCCCUCGACAUGCUCACUGGCAAAUUUAAUACGUCUAAAAGCAAACUCCUGAUCUUGUCUUCCAAAUCAGUUCCCCCACAGUCUCUCCUGUCUCAGUAAAUGACACAUCCUUGCUUCUCAGUUCUUAGGCCUUGCACCAUCAGGUCAUCACUGGUGCCCACUCUUGUCUCCCACACUGCACAUCAUGUCCACGAGUGCAUCUUUGACACAGGGUGGCAACCAAGCCUGGAUUCUGUGUGCUCCUUAGGUAAGAUAUGGUUUUUCAAUGCCACAUUUUAAUGUGCUAUUAAAUAUUCAUGUCUGUGGUUCCAGACUUUAUGGUCACCUGUCACCCCCACAUUCAGAAUUCAGUCACUUCCCACCAUCUGUCCUAAGUUACCAUCAUCUCUUGCCAGGAUCAUUGCAGUAGCCUCUUAUCUGCUCUCCCUGCUUUUUCUCUCUUGCUUUCUCUACAAUCUAACCUCAAUGAUCAGAGUGAUCCUGCAACAACUUAAAACACAGCUCAGAUCAUAUUAUUCCCCAGAUCAAAAUCUUCCACUGGCUCCCAUCUCACUCAAGAAUAAAAUCCAAAGAUCUUGCCACAGCCAAUAAGACCCUACAGGUUCUGGCCCCUACUCCCUCUCUGACUCCCACCUUCUGUCCACCUCACUCGCUGCAUCAAGCUUGUUUCCAUCUUUAGGUUUUGCACUUGCUAAUCUUGAUACCUGCAAAAGCUAUCUCCCCAAAGAGCCAUCAGGCCGGAUCCCUCACUUUGUUUUGGGGGUUUGCUCAGAUGCCCUUAGAUCUCUCAGUAAAAUUACAACCCCCACCUCAGCCAUGCUGGCUAUGACUCUUGCCCCAUUCUGUAAUUUUCCAUGGUAGUACACCUGACAUAUGAAUUAUUUCUUCCUUUACCAGAAUGUGAGAUCCAGGAGGUCAGGGACGAUGCUUUGUUCACUGAUAUACUCCCAGCACCUGGAACUUGGAGAAGGUGAACAGAUGUUGCCUAUUGAAGGAAUGAAAGGAGAAUGUCUGAAUCCAUGCUGUUGCAUGAGAAGUACACAUCUUACCAUAGAGUUAAAUUAAUCCUAACUCUAUACAAGAAGUACUGAUAACCAAUAACAACUCCUCAAAAGGAAGUGCCGAACAUUUUUAAACAAGUAUGGGGGGAUUUUUGUUUUGUUUUGUUUUUUUAAUUUUAUGGCUGCAGAUGCAGCAUAUGGAAGUUCCCUGUCCGGGGAUUAAAUCCUAGCACUGCACCUGGCUGGGAAUUGAACCUGCACCUCUACAGCCACCCCAAGCCACCACAGUUGGAUUUUUUGUUUGUUUGUUUUCUUUUUUGAGCCACACCCACAGCAGAUGGAAGUUCCCAGGCUAGGGGUCAAAUUGGAGCUAUAGCUGCUGGCCUACACCACAGCCACAGCAGUGCCAGAUCCAAGCCACACCUGCGACCUACACCACAGCUCAUGGCAAUGCUGGAUCCUUAACCCACUGAGCGAGGCCAGGGAUCAAACCUAUGAUCCCAGGGAUACUAGUCGGGUUCGUUAACCACUGAGCCACAAGGGGAACUCCCACAGUUGCAUUCGUAACCCACUGCACCACAAUGGGAGCUUCCAAGUAUGGUUUUCUUUUUGUUUGUUUUAUUAUUUUAUUUUCCCAAGUAUGGUUGUAAAUGAAAAUUUCUCCAUUGUGGGUAAGUCUAGAUUUCUUAAAUUCCUUAAUCCUUACAAUUUUGCUGAUGUUUUUCUGACCAUCCCAUGAAGGUGAGGCCUGAGAUGCUGGCCUGGCAUUCUUACAUGAGGGUCUGUGUUCUUAGAUUCUGCCUUUGCCUGGGUUCAGUUACAGAGCUGCUAUGAAAUUACCCACUAAAGGGGUUUUGCUUCCCUCCCAAUAUGCUCUAUGACAUGUCUGCCCAUUGUUACUUACUGCUGAAAUAACUUCGAGAGCACGAGGAGGUUGUAUUCUGCUCCCUGGGGGUAGUGCUGCGUGGAAAGCAGCUUCCUUCCUUGUUAGGGCACAUGGUGAGACCACCAUGGCACUUCCUGAAUAGUUCUAGUCAACAGUCUCCUUCCUUCCCACUUCAGAACCUCUGGGCUGGGACAAGGACUGUGGCCAGAGGAUUUUAACGUUUAAAAAAUAGACAUGGGGCUGUCAGGUGUAAUGAUGAACCCACCAAGAAGGCCCUUAGGCCCUUAGGAGACUGAAGAACAGUGAGGCCAACACUGAAAUGUUAUUGUUUUAAAAUCAGCCAAGUAUUUUUAUCUUGAAAAUCCUAUCUUUUUAACAUAUGGAAAUAGUGGGGACGCAAUUCAGACUCAACUAGUUUUAAGAACAGUUGCUAAACUUGCCUUAAUAAGAAGAAAGUCCAGGAGUUCCCGUCGUGGCACAGUGGUUAACGAAUCCGACUAGGAACCAUGAGGUUGCGGGUUCGGUCCCUGCCCUUGCUCAGUGGGUUAACGAUCCGGCGUUGCUGUGAGUUGUGGUGUAGGUUGCAGACGUGGCUCGGAUCCCGCGUUGCUGUGGCUCUGGCGUAGGCCGGUGGCUACAGCUCCGAUUCGACCCCUAGCCUGGGAACCUCCAUAUGGCGCGGAAGCGGCCCAAGAAAUAGCAACAACAACAAAAAAGACAAAAAAAAAAAAAA